Molecule: non-coding RNA, 75 nt
Organism: Heligmosomoides polygyrus
Lineage: Eukaryota; Metazoa; Nematoda; Chromadorea; Rhabditida; Heligmosomidae
Source: Rfam
GCGCCAGUGGUAUAAUGGCGUAGAGUAUUCCCGCCCGGUUGGAGGGAGGUGCGGGUUCGAGUCCCGCCUGGCGGU